AACUUUGAUAAGUAAAAUGAAGCCCAAACUAAAAACUCUCUCUUCUCUCUCUCUCUCAUAUACAAUCGGUCUCCUCUCUCUCCUCGUAUCUCUCACUCUCUCAAUCUCACAGAUACGCACACACAUCCCCCACCGCUUCGACCUACGCCACAGGCAUCUCCUCCGUCUCACCUCUCGCUCCCUGUCUACCCCCUUCUAUCACUCAGCGCGCACGGCGAGGCUGCAUAUGCAGCGCCGCCUCCGUCGCUACGCCGCCGCCGCAGUCACCAUCUCCACGCCUUCCAUCUGUAAUUUUCGGCCUUGCUACCUCUCGUUUUGCUACCCGAGGUCGUUGUAGUUGCUGCUCUCGUCGCAGUUGCGCUCCUACUGGCGGUGCUACAGGUGCCGCUGCAACUGCCCCUGCUGUCGAAGAAAAGAAGGUGCGCCCCUGUUGUCGAAGAAAAGAAGAAAAAAAGAUCUGAGAUUCGCCCUCCAUUGACAGAUUCAAAUCUCAUCUGUAGAGAAAGUUUAGACUUCAACAACAAUCUAAAAAUAGACUUUUGAAAGAAUAUUUUUUUAAAAGAACAAAGCUUUCUUCAACAAAAAUAACAGAAGAUUUUUCGAAAAAAUUUGAUAGAAUAAUA
Long non-coding RNA from Salvia miltiorrhiza (redroot sage), 623 nucleotides. RefSeq lists it as uncharacterized. NCBI's taxonomy places the organism in Eukaryota, Viridiplantae, Streptophyta, Magnoliopsida, Lamiales, Lamiaceae. The transcript has 3 exons. The record is from RefSeq and is a predicted model, not a curated record.